GGCCAGCCCUGAUGCUUCUGGCAGUCAUGGCUUUUGGCAGAAAGAUGAGGCCCUUCCUCCUGCUGCUGCCGCUGCUGCUUCUCUCCAGGACCCGGAGCCACAACCCGAAAAGGCCCAACUUUGUCCUCCUGAUGGCGGAUGACUUGGGCAUCGGGGACCCCGGUUGUUAUGGGAACAAGACUCUUAGGACACCCCACAUCGACCGGCUCGCCGCAGACGGGGUGAAGCUCACACAACACCUGGUCGCCUCACCCCUGUGCACCCCGAGCCGUGCAGCCUUCAUGACUGGCCGGUACCCUGUGCGAUCAGGAAUGGCCUCACGGUCUCGAGUGGGUGUGUUCCUCUUCUCCGCGUCUUCUGGAGGUCUGCCGCCCAGCGAGGUGACGUUCGCCAAGCUGCUCAGGGACCAGGGUUAUGCCACAGCCCUGAUCGGGAAGUGGCACCUGGGCACCCACUGCCGGCACAAUGAUGAUUUCUGCCACCACCCUUCCCGGCACGGCUUCGAGCACUUCUACGGGAUCCCGGUGACCAACAUGCGGGACUGCAAGCCGGGGGCGGGCAGCGUCUUCACCGGGGGCAUACAGCUGCUGGUGUACCUGCCCCUGAAGCUGCUGGGCGUGCUGCUGCUCCUGCUGGCGGCCCUGCGCCACCUGGGGCUGGCGGCCGUGCCCACCGGUGUCUUCGCGGCGCUGCUGCUGCUGGCGGCUGGGCUGCUGGCCCUGCAGUUCUGCUUCCUGCGCUACUACCGGCCUCUCAACUGCUUCCUCAUGCGCGGGACAGAGCUCAGCCAGCAGCCUUUCAGCUACCUCAACCUCACCCAGAGGCUCACGCGCGAGGCCACCAACUUCCUGCACAGGAAUGCCCAGAGCCCUUUCCUCCUGGUGCUGUCCUACCUGCAAGUCCACACGGCCCUGUAUGCUUCCGCGGAAUUCUCUGGAAAGAGUCAGCAUGGGGAAUAUGGGGACGCAGUGGAGGAGAUGGACUGGAGCGUGGGACAGGUGCUGAGGACUCUGGAUGAGCUGGGCCUGGCCAGCAGCACCUUCGUCUACUUCUCGUCUGACCAUGGGGCGCACUUGGAGGAGAGGAGCCCAGAAAACAAACCCCAGGGCGGCAGCAAUGGCGUCUACAAAGGGGGCAAAGGCAUGAACUGGGAGGGCGGCAUCCGAGUCCCGGGCCUCGUGCGCUGGCUGGGCGUGAUCCCCGCGGGAGCGGAACUGGGCGAACCCACCAGCAACAUGGAUCUGUUCCCCACUGUCGCCAAGCUGGCCGGAGCCCUGCUGCCCCAGGACCGGGUCAUAGACGGACGAGACCUGAUGCCCCUGCUUCAGGGCCAAACUCAGUGCUCGGACCACGAGUUUCUCUUUCACUACUGCAACUCCUACCUGAACGCCGUGCGCUGGCACCCCCAGAACAGAGGGGACUGGGGACUCGAACCCAGGUCCUUGCGCAUUGCAACAUGUGCGCCCAACCAGGUACGCCAUCGCCCAGCCCCUAGAUAUAUAUUUGUUUAAUUUACAAAAGGAAAGUCCUUCACUCAGCCUUUUUUUUUUAAUUAAAUUUUUGGAUUUAGGAAUUACUUCUGUUAUUAGUGACUUAGUAUUGAUUUAUAAAAACCAUAAGAUAACAGGGAGACAAUCCCACACCGUUCCCCCCACCAGAGUCCCAUGUUCCCAUCCCCUCCACUGGAACCUGCAUUGCUUCUCCCAAGCUCACAGACAUGGGCUGACGAUUAUUUCUACGACUGUCUAGAUUUAUAUAUCUUUGCCCAUGUUUUCCCCUCUGGUCCUGCCUUCUCUUCCUGUCUCAGCCACACCUCCACCUGUCACUCCUUCCGAGUGUCCCUCCUUUUUUCCGCUUCUCUCUCUCCGGGUCCUGAUGAAAUUGGGGUUCAGAGCCCUCUGGGCAUCUUCCCCCUGACAUUUCUCCCCCUCUGGGAGCCUGGAUCCAAAUUUCUUUUCCGCCAUCCUUGUAGAGCCUGCCCCCUGGUCCUGGUGGUGCGUCUGGAAGCGGGUAGGGGGCCUAGGUGUCUAGACAAAGGUCUCCACAUUGAAUCAAAGAGUCCGUGCGCUUUAGGGCAAAGCGGGUGUUUGUAACCUAUGGAUGCUGCAGGGUGAGAGGGUGAGAGGGUCUGAGUUUUCUGACCCCCUUCAUUCUGUUAGGGAAAAGUUCCAUAAUAAAGAGAAGUGUGCUGGUCUCUCGAACCCUCGGCCACCGUCCCAGCCCACAACAGGUGGCUUCCGCUGCGUGUCCUGAGUUUCUUUCUGGCUCACAAACUGGUGUCUGAGUUUCUGGACCUGUGGGCAUCGUGCUUCUCAGCUGUGCAAUCAGUCUCCUCAAAGGGGACAAAAGGGGACAGAUUCAUGGGUAGAAAGUUGUCGCUGACAUCUGGCCGUUCUUUCUUGCCGGGGUGGAUCCGUGGUGGAGGCGGGUGGUGAAGGGUUUACUCAGCCAGUCCCAUCAGAUCGAUCCAUUUCCUGGUGUGCCUUCAGGGCUUUGUCUGGUUUUUAAUGUUUUAUUAGUGAUUGAAUAAUGAUGAACAAGAUGGUAAGAUCACAGGGUGACAAUCCCACCCAGUUCCCACCCCCAGAGUCCCCUGUCCCGUCCCCUCCAUUGGAAGCUUCCCUGUUCUUUAUCCCUCUGGGAGCCUGGACCCAAAUUCUUUCUGGGGAGCAGAAGGUGGGAGUUGUGGCUUCUGUCAUUGCUUCUCCGCUGGACAUGGGUGUUGGCAGGUGGACCCACACCCCCAGCCUGUGUCUGUCUGUCCCUUGUGGGGCAGGGCUCUGGGGAGGGGAGGCUCCAGGACACACGGGUGAGGGCGUCUGCCCAGGGAGGUCAGGUUGGCGUCACGGCAGCAUUUGCAACUUGGUGUCUGAGAAGCAUUAAGAUAUAAAGCAGGACAAAGUGUUUAAUAACCAGGAACCCAAAGGUAGGAACAGAGCAGAUGGAACUAGGGGUCUUCAUGUGGGAAGAAGCCAGGACGUCUAUUUUAGGUCUAUUCCAAGGGGCCCGUGACUUUCGUCAUUGUCACCUGAGCCCGACAGGUAACCUGCAAGUGGGCUGCAAGUCUUGUCUGGGGAGAUGGUGUCGGAGUUGGGAAUAGGACUAGAAAACUGGAUCAGGUCAGACAGCAGCUCCCACAUAUGGGAAAAUACAUAAAUACCAUUAACUGUCAACCCCGUCUAUCUCACCCAGGGCCCAUAUCUGUACAUAUGUCUGUUCAUUCAGCACAGGAGCCUGUGUGACCUCUGAGUCCCUACCAGUCUGAGCUCACAGUCCUUGGUCACAGCUGGAACAUUCUAGGCUGCUCUCAUUUCAGGACCCAUCUUCCUUGAGUGGCAGAAUAGGCUGACCCGGCCUCACUUCGGUGAAUGGGGCAGAUUUCCACACCUCGUUCAGUGAAAACUAGACCUGUGUGUAAUCACUGUAGUUAACCUUGGUUUCAACCAUUCUGCAUCCAAAAUUUAUAUUUGGCUUCUGACAGGCAACAGGAAACUGCGAACCUUUUCUUCUUAUUAUUUUUUUCCUCCUCUUCCACCAUGCUGGAAGACAUACCCGGGCGUAUUUCUGCUGAUUAUCGAUAAUGAUUGCUGUUAACUCUUGGGCUGUUCAGGCUUUCAAGCUUUCAAAUAAACAUGCUUUUGGGUUGG
This is an RNA transcript of Erinaceus europaeus (western European hedgehog), 3647 nucleotides long. It is a transcript of the gene named steroid sulfatase, with no coding region annotated. The transcript has 11 exons. Lineage: Eukaryota; Metazoa; Chordata; Mammalia; Eulipotyphla; Erinaceidae. The record is from RefSeq and is a predicted model, not a curated record.